GACCACGUAGCUCAGUUGGCAGAGCAUUGGACUAGUAUCCCAAAGGUCGCGGGUUCGACUCCCACCAUGGCCA
Molecule: non-coding RNA, 73 nt
Organism: Paramuricea clavata
Lineage: Eukaryota; Metazoa; Cnidaria; Anthozoa; Malacalcyonacea; Plexauridae
Source: the annotation of a GenBank genome assembly